AUUGAACGCUGGCGGCAGGCCUAACACAUGCAAGUCGAGCGGAUGAAGGGAGCUUGCUCCUGGAUUCAGCGGCGGACGGGUGAGUAAUGCCUAGGAAUCUGCCUGGUAGUGGGGGAUAACGUCCGGAAACGGGCGCUAAUACCGCAUACGUCCUGAGGGAGAAAGUGGGGGAUCUUCGGACCUCACGCUAUCAGAUGAGCCUAGGUCGGAUUAGCUAGUUGGUGGGGUAAAGGCCUACCAAGGCGACGAUCCGUAACUGGUCUGAGAGGAUGAUCAGUCACACUGGAACUGAGAGACGGUCCAGACUCCUACGGGAGGCAGCAGUGGGGAAUAUUGGACCAUGGGCGAAAGCCUGAUCCAGCCCUGCCGCGUGUGUGAAGAAGGUCUUCGGAUUGUAAAGCACUUUAAGUUGGGAGGAAGGGAAGUAAGUUAAUACCUUGCUGUUUUGACGUUACCCACAGAACAAGCACCGGCUAACUUCGUG
Molecule: ribosomal RNA, 484 nt
Filed under: uncultured bacterium
Lineage: Bacteria
Description: partial 16S ribosomal RNA
Rfam family: Bacterial small subunit ribosomal RNA
Source: RNAcentral